CCCAGGCUGGAGUGCAGUGGCGCGAUCUCGGCUCACUGCAAGCUCCGCCUCCCGGGUUCACGCCAUUCUCCUGCCUCAGCCUCUCCAAGUAGCUGGGACUACAGGCGCCCGCCACCACGCCCGGCUAAUUUUUUGUAUUUUUUUUUUAGUAGAGACAGGGUUUCACCGUGGUCUCGAUCUCCUGACCUCGUGAUCCGCCCGCCUCGGCCUCCCAAAGUGCUGGGAUUACAAGCGUGAGCCACCGCGCCCGGCCCAAAAGUUGUUUUUUAAUGUUUGAAGAUUCAAAGGAAAGUGCUUUUCCUACCACAAAUUUCCAUCCCACCUGUAACUCCGUCUAAAUUUGAAUAACAGCAGUCCACAGUUAGGCGGCGCACUUCUGAAAGGUUUUCAAUUCUCUUUGUGUUCCAGACUCAUGGGGGAUUUCCCCAGUGUUUAUGAAGUUGGCCUGAAGGAAGCAGUUACUUCGACCCCUCUUUGUGAACCACAGGAAACUGAAUAUAGGGCAGAGUGUUUCUAGGACAUUUAUAGAAGCUGGUCUCUGAUUGGUUGGGCAACCAGAUGCAGAAUCCUGUUUUCUGAAGCAGAAUAUUUCCACAGAUUUUGGCUGCAAAACGUUUUUCUGCUGAGGGUACUUGAGCAGGAAACAUGGAGAAGAAUCCUUUGGCAGCCCCAUUACUAAUCCUCUGGCUUCAUCUUGACUGCGUGAGCAGCGUACUGAAGGUGGAACAAAGUCCUCAGUCACUGCAUGUUCAGGAGGGAGACAGCACCAAUUUCACCUGCAGCUUCCCUUCCAGCAAUUUUUAUGCCUUACACUGGUACAAAUGGGAAACUGCAAAAAGCCCCAAGGCCUUGUUUGUAAUGACCUUAAAUGGGGAUGAAAAGAAGAAAGGACGAAUAAAUGCCACUCUUAAUACCAAGGAGGGUUACAGCUAUUUGUACAUCAAAGGAUCCCAGCCUGAAGACUCAGCCACAUACCUCUGUGCCUUUACACAGUGCUGUUCAGACACCUGCAGCCCAUAUGCAAACGUGUGUCUGGGGUUGCACUGUUACCAGCAUUGACAAAGAACCAUGAGUAGGAUGGAAAAGACAAGUUCAUUGAAUUACAGUUUUUUUUCAAGAGGAUUAUGCAAACAUAGAAAAAUAAGCAUGCUAGUGAUCAUAACUAACUACCACAAGAGCUAAUUAAGUAAACAUAUUCUUUAUGACAGGUAGAUGUCAGAGUGCUAAUGAAGCAUAACACAUGACCUGGUAACUGGGCUGUUACUAACUAAUACUAACCCCAGCUCCCAACAACACAUUAGCCACAUCAUGGAGUCAGACCCAUUGCCUGCUCUUUUGGCAUGAUUCUGAAAUAACCCAAUAGUUACUCAAAUCUAUCUAAAACAAUCUGGGUAAAUAAAGGUAAUAUUUACCCCUUCAUUGUUGCUAUGUCCUGAAAACGAAUUCUUCUAUUAUAUUUUAUCACAGCACAAAUGGAGCAUGUCGGCAUGCCCCUUCCUCACACACUUGGCCUGGAAAUAUGCAUGUUUAAUACCAGAACAGGUGAUGCUGCCUCCUUUAAUCCAUUGGGGAUUUUGGUUUUGCUUUAGUUCAACUUUUCCCCUACAUGAAUAUUUGCAUUUUUAUUUCUUCUCACAUGUGGCUAUUUUCAUUUUUAAAUAUCACUCAUAAUAUCAUAAAGGAGCACUGAUGAAGGACCUUCACUAUUUUAACGUGGUCUAUCCCCCAGCUUGUAUUGUGAUUGUGAUAUUGGAUGACUAACUGAACUCUGUUAUCGAAGUCUCUUUAUUUGUAAUUUCCAGGUAUAUUAAGCAGGCUGAGUGUUUGGUGCUCUCCUCCUUUUGCGGAUUUCCAAACAACCCACCAGUUUAAGGUCCAACUGGUACUCUUGAGGCAUCUAAUUCUAAGCUUUCUUAGGGGUUGUUAACAUGAAGUAACUUGCUUCUGGGCCUCCUCAUCUAAAAGCUAGAAUUUCAACUUUCUCUAAACAUCUACAUUAAUAAUUAUUUAUCCAGCUCCUGUCCAGUUUCCUAAAUUAUGCUGCUUUUUUUUUCUCUCUCUUUUGUGGAUUUAUGUUUUUAAAAAUACUAUUGUUGUUGUCACAUAUUUAGGAAAAAAAGCCAGUACCUUUAAAAAAUAAUAAUGGAGUGUAUACAAAUCUCUGACUGGACCCAUUUAGAGAUAUAUAUAUAGAGAGAGAUAUUUUUUUCAAAAUUUAUUCACAAGGUAGUAAUGAAUCUAUUUGACUAUCAGAUUGGAAGUGGCUAAAUUUGUAAUAUUAUUUGAACAUAUAUGGAAUCAGAAGGGUAUAGCACAGGACUGAGUGCAGAGAAGCUAUGGUUCAUUGUACACUAGUGUUGGUGCAGAAGAACUACACAAAAGAAGAUUGAUCACUGUUCCAGCUGCUAGUCAAAUUCCCAAACCAGCUCUCGGUUAUUGGCAUAAAGAUCAAUGGAAGAAUUUCUAAUAUUUCCAGCAAUGAUCUUGAGGCUUGAACUAACUCUGAAUUGGUAGAAUCAAAAGGCAUGGGUAAAAUAAAAGAUGAACAUCUGACUCAUUUGUGUGUGGCUGCAACACAAUGCCUCACAGUCUCCUGCAUGUCAAGGCGCAGAUACAAAUUAAUUACAUUCAUACAACACUUCAGUGUGGAAUGACGCUGCUUGAAACCAGCCCAUGACUCCAACUUCCUUGAGAACUCUGCCUGCCUUAAGCCACGAUGAGAUACAGAUCUUCCCACACACACGAUCAAGAAAAAUGUAAAUCUUUCGUGCACGGUCCUUACAAAAAUAUCCCUAUCUUUAUGAAAGCGGUAUGUAACCGAGUAAAUAUGGACCAAAA
Symphalangus syndactylus (siamang) is the source of this 2838-nucleotide non-coding RNA. NCBI's taxonomy places the organism in Eukaryota, Metazoa, Chordata, Mammalia, Primates, Hylobatidae. The record is from the annotation of a RefSeq genome assembly.